Small nucleolar RNA from Cercocebus atys (sooty mangabey), 59 nucleotides. Its record names the gene SNORD81. It matches the Rfam family "Small nucleolar RNA SNORD81". Rfam says of the family: U81 is a member of the C/D class of snoRNA which contain the C (UGAUGA) and D (CUGA) box motifs. U81 acts as a guanine methylation guide and is found in intron 11 of the gas5 gene in mammals. The record is from Ensembl. Lineage: Eukaryota; Metazoa; Chordata; Mammalia; Primates; Cercopithecidae.
GAGAAUGCAAGAUUUUCUCUCACUGAUUACUUGAUGACAAUAAAAGAUCUGAUAUUCUG